Musa acuminata AAA Group (dessert banana) is the source of this 7807-nucleotide RNA transcript. It is a transcript of the gene named MAG2-interacting protein 2-like, with no coding region annotated. The transcript is spliced from 15 exons. NCBI's taxonomy places the organism in Eukaryota, Viridiplantae, Streptophyta, Magnoliopsida, Zingiberales, Musaceae. The record is from RefSeq and is a predicted model, not a curated record.
CUCAACGAUAUCGACCUCUUUCCCCUUCGCUUUCCCAGAUUAUUCUCUGUCUGCAUGUAGAGAGACGAAUGGAGCAAGAAGUAGACGAAGGAAGAGAGGCAUCCGUCGUUACGGACGGGGUGCUCUACGAGAUCCGCCGCCACGCGACGGGGGAUUUCCCGUCGGAUUCAUCUCUCCCACCGGUCGGUGACAGUUCCAGCGGCGGAUUGCUGUCGUAUCUCUCUCUUCGAGGUGUGAACCAACUUAAGGAGAGGUGGUACGGGUACAGCAGACCAAGGGCAAAUAAGAAGAGGGUAUCGCUUUUUGUCUCCCCCGGUGGCGAGCAUGUGGCUGUUGCUGCUGAAAAUCGAAUUACCAUUUUGCACAAGGAUGAUGACUAUAUGGAGCCUUGUGGUGUAUUUACAUGCAAUGAUAUGCAAGCAGUCUUCAACAGUGGAGCUUGGGUAGAGCCUUUGGGAGUUCUUGUCAUAAUCGAUGACAUGAGUACACUCUAUUUCAUCAGAGCAAAUGGGAUGGAAAUAACAAGGAGAACGAGGGUUCAGCUGAAGUUAUCUUCUCCUAUCAUUGACCUUUUUGUACAGGAAGACCUAAACUCAAAGAACACUUCCUUGUGUGGCAUCUCCAUUAUUACAGCGGAUGGUUUGAUGCAUUACAUUCAGAUAACGGAAGAGCCCAAUAUAUGUGUACAUCAGUUACCUACUUUGAGGGGUCGCUUACAUUGUGGACAGUUGCCACAUAUUACGUGCAUGGAUUUUCAUCCUGAUCUUUCUUUGGCAGCUGUAGUCUGUGACUCCUGUGUCUCAGUGGACUCUAAGGACCGUUCUGGAGAAUAUUCCCUGUUUGUGUCUCGAGUUAAAGCAAAUUCAGAAAUAGAGCUACUUGUUUCUGGUGAUAAACUGGAGGGAUCAUUUGCUUCUCCCAAAGGAUGUUUAAAUCACUGCAGUCAUCCAAAAGUGGCAAUAUCACCCCAGGGAAAAUAUGCGGCUACUCUGGAUUUUAUGGGUUGUGUAGAUGUUUUCAAACUUGAUCUUGAACUACAUUCUCUUUCUCUUCUUUCUUUUCCUGCAAAGCAAAAAUCAGAGAAAGCAGAUAGUUUAGCAUUUGAAAAGAAGAAAUGCUUCUUUGAUGUUGUUGAUGUCAGUUGGUGGGCUGAUAAUAUUCUCAUUCUUUCCAAUAUGAAUGCCUCUAUCACCAUGUAUGAUACCCUUAAUUGUGUAAAAGUUUCAGAAAAUGAUCCCAUAUUUUGCAUGCCACUCAUCGAAAGAGUCAAGCAUCAUCAAGGAUUUGUUUUCAUCUUGGAGAAUGCAUCAUCUGGUAGUAUGUCAGUAAAUUCCCAGCAGAUUGAGGAUGUCACUAGUGGAAAUUACAUUGAACGAGAUGCUGCCAGAUCAAGCUGGACUCUGAUGUCAUUUUCUGAGAGAUCUGUUUCAGAAAUGUAUACUAUUUUGUUAAAAAGUCAAAAAUACCAGGAUGCAUUGGAGUUUGCUUCUCAUCACAGAUUGGAUACUGAUGAAGUUUUCAAAGUACAGUGGUUGGAUUCUUUCCAAGGCAUCCCUGAAAUUAAUCUAUACCUGUCAAAAAUUAAGGAUAUGGUGUUUGUACUGUCAGAAUGUGUAAAUAGAGUUGGAACGACUGAGGAUGGUGUGCAGGCUUUACUUUCUCAUGGGCUUCGUAUCAGUGACCGGUAUGAAUUUUCAGAUUCUGAUGUCAGCGACUGCAGCUCAUUCUGGAACAUCCGGAUGUUUAGACUUCAACUGUUGCAGUUCAGGGACAGAUUAGAGACAUUUAUGGGGAUAAAUAUGGGAAGGUUUUUGGCACAGGAAUAUUUCAAGUUUCGAUCUAUGCCUCUCACUGAAGCUGCUGUAGCUCUUGCUGAAAGAAGCAAAAUUGGGGCCCUUAAUUUGCUCUUUAAGCGCCAUCCAUAUUCAGUUUCUCCAAGGAUUUUGGACAUCUUGUCUUCUAUUCCUGAAACAGUUCCUGUUGAAUCAUAUUGUCAGCUCCUACCAGGGAUGUCUCCUCCUAGAACAAUUGCUUUAAGAGAUGCAGACUGGGUAGAGUGUGAAAAGAUGCUGUCCUUUUUGGACACAUUGCCAAGUAAAUCAGAAAAGAGCAACCAAAUUUUUACAGAAAAUUUACUGAAAAUUUGUACAGGCUAUGUUUGGCCAUCAGCUUCUGAACUUUCUUCUUGGUACAAGAACAGAGCUAAAGAUAUUGAUAAUUUGAGUGGACAGUUGGAUAAUUGCUUUUCUUUGGUUGAAAUUGGAUGUCGCAAUGGUAUUUUGGAGUUGCAACAAUUUCUGGAAGAUAUCUCAUACUUACGUCAAAUAAUUUAUUCUGACGGUUUUGAUGAAGUAUUUACUAUGAGUCUUGUCACUUGGGCGCAACUAUCAGACUACGAUAAGUUUAAAAUGAUGCUCAAGGGAGUCAAAGAAGACAUAAUAGUUAAAAAGCUGCGGGAAAAAGCCAUUCCCUUUAUGCGGAACCGAUGUAAGUUGGAGGCUUUUGAUUUUGCUGAUGAGACAAAGGCUGGUGAUAAAGAGUCAUUUCUAAUUAGAUGGUUGAAGGAGAUUGCUGCAGAGAACCGUUUAGACCUAUGUUUGGCAGUCAUUGACAAGGGUUGUGGGGACUCACCGAUUGAUGGACUAUUUAAGGAUGAAGUAGAAAUAAUAGAAACAGCACUGCAUUGCAUUUAUUCAUGCACCCUUACAGAUCAGUGGAAUGUGAUGGCAUCCAUUUUGUCAGAGCUUCCACGAAAUAUUUUAAGAGAUAAUUUGUUUGCCACCGACGAAGAUUUUAGUCCAAGGCAUGCUAAUCAGUAUUUUGAAACUUCAAAAGUUUCUUAUGUGAAGUAUGGCCUGGGAGGUUCCACUUCAGAUGAUUCUAGAGGAUCUGAUGGCAAGUCGGACAUUGAUGCAACUGCUGCUAAGGUGGAGAAGAGGAUAAAAAUUGCAGAGGGCCACGUGGAAGUUGGAAGAUUGAUGGCAUAUUAUCAGGUUCCAAAGCCAAUAUCUUUCUUUCUAAGUGCUCAAUCUGAUGAGAAGAAUGUGAAACAACUUCUUCGUCUGAUUCUGUCGAAGUUCAGCCGUCGACAGCCUACCAGAUCAGAUAAUGAUUGGGCAAGCAUGUGGCGUGAUUUGCUAUCCUUCCAGGAAAAAGCAUUUCCUUUUCUUGAUUUAGAGUAUCUUCUAAUAGAAUUUAUUAGAGGGCUCCUAAAAGCUGGAAAAUUCUCCCUUGCAAGAAACUACCUUAAAGGGACAGCCUCAGUUUCUUUGGCUCCUGGAAAGGCUGAAAAUCUAGUCAUUCAAGCAGCAAGAGAAUAUUUCUUUUCAGCUUCUAGUCUGUCUUGCAGUGAAAUCUGGAAGGCUAAAGAAUGUUUAAGCCUCUUGCCAAGUAGCGAAGCUGUUAAAGCAGAAGCUGAUAUGAUUGACGCUCUCACUAUUAGACUUCCAAACCUAGGGGUGACUCUUCUACCCAUGCAGUUUAGACAGAUAAGAAACCCAAUGGAAAUCAUAAAUAUGGUGAUCACAUGUCAAACUGGUGCUUAUCUAAAUGUAGAAGAGCUCAUUGAGAUUGCCAAACUUCUUGGUUUGAGCUCCCCAGAUGAUAUAGCAGCUGUAGAAGAAGCUGUGGCCAGAGAAGCUGCAGUUGCUGGUGAUCUGCAAUUGGCUUUUGAUCUUUGUCUAGUUCUUGCAAAAAAAGGCCAUGGAUCCAUUUGGGACUUGUGUGCUGCAAUUGCACGGGGUCCCCAUCUUGAUAAUAUGGACUUGAGUUCUAGGAAACAGCUGUUGGGUUUUGCUUUAAGCCACUGUGAUGAUGAAUCCAUUGGGGAACUACUGAAUGCAUGGAAGGAGGUAGAUACACAUGUUCAAUCUGAGAAUUUAAUAACUUUGACAGGCACUAAUCCACCAAGGUUCGUUAGCAAAGGAUCUUCAGUGUCACCACUUUCUGUAUAUUGCACUCCUGACAUAUUUGACCUACCAAAUGGCUCUAAGCCUAUGCAACAUGUAUUGUAUCCAGAUGGUGGAAAUGAUGAUGAUCAAGUUCAGUAUAAUCAAAUCAAAGAUGUACUUUCGAGAGUCGGCGUCGAUCUAUUGACCGAUGAUGGCAUUUGUUGGGACACUAUUUUAAGAGAAAAUAAGAGAGUCCUCUCAUUUGCUGCUUCAGAACUUCCUUGGCUUCUUGAUUUGUCAGAAAGAGAAGAAUAUGGUAAACUAUCUACUCUUGGGGCAAGACAUCAAGUUUCUACAAGAAUGCGAGCAUUGCUAAGUAUUCUCUGCUGGAUGGCUGGGAAUAAUAUUGCUCCAGCUGAUGAUAUGAUCAAGUCUCUUGCCAAUUAUAUUAUGGAACCUCCUAUCACCGAAGAGGAUGAUGUCCUUGGAUGCUCAUUUUUGCUGAAUCUUGUGGAUGCUUUUCAUGGAGUAGAAAUUAUCGAGGAGCAGCUAAAAAGAAGAGACAAAUAUCAAGAAAUAUACAGCAUCAUGAACAUUGGAAUGGCAUAUUGUUCGCUGUACAAUGCUCAGGAAAAAUGCUCAAGUGCUGAACAAAGAAGGGAGCUGUUGCUGCAAAUGUUUCAUGAUAAGCAGGCAUCCUUCUGCUCAGAUGCAAUGGUACAGAUAGACAAGGUGACAUCAACAUUUUGGAGAGAGUGGAAGAUAAAACUGGAAGAGCAGAAAAGACUUGCAGAUCAUGUAAGAGAUUUAGAGCGAAUAAUGCCCAGAAUAGAAGCUGCUCGCUUUUUAUCUAGGGAUAUGGAGUACAUAAAAGGUGUUAUUUUCUCCUUCAUUGAUUCCGUAAAGCUGGAGAAGAAACACAUUCUUAAGGAAGCAGUGAAGUUGGCAGACACUUAUGGUUUGGACCGCAUUGAGGUAAUAUUGCGUUUCUUUGGUUGUACCCUUAUUUCUGAACAUUGGGGAAACAACGAUAUUCUGGCAGAGAUUUCAGAAUUUAGGAAUGACAUUGUCAAAUGUGCCAAUGGAGUUAUUUAUAUGAUUCACUCAGUCGUCUACCCAGAGAUUGAUGGGCGCAACAAGGAAAGACUUUCCUACAUGUAUAGCAUACUCUCAGCUUGCUACUUACGCCUAAAAAAGGUUGAAGACCCAAUGCUAAUGACAUACCAAGAACAAGGACAUAUGCAUAUACUCGAGCCGUUCCAAUUUUACAAAGUUCUUGAACAGGAAUGCCAAAGGGUCUCCUUCAUUGAGAAUUUGAACUUCAAAAAUAUUGCUGGUUUGGAUGAUUUGAACUUUGAGCAUUUUAAUGAAGAAAUCUGUAAUAACAUCCAUGAACCUACAGUGGAAGCUCUAGCAGAAUUGGUGCAGGUUCUUGUUGGUAUUUAUGAUAAUUCACAAGCCAAGGGUCUCAUAUCAAUGGAAGGUGUCUACAAGCACCAUGUCCUAGGUAUUUUGGCAUCUUUAGAAGGUCGGAAUGAAGCUAGGUCAGAUAGUAUAAAAGCUCAUGAGUUGCAAGCUCUUUUAAUGGGAAUUGAGCUGAAUUAUGAUAAAUGCAAGAAGUAUGUUAGAGCUCUUUCAGAAGCAGAUAUAUCAUAUAUUGUUGGGAGAUUCUGCACUCUCUGUUUUCCUAGUAAUUUUUCACGGAGCCUACCAGAGGAACUUGCAUGGAAGGAUUGUCUUAUUGUUCUUUUGACACUUUGGAUCAAGCUGGUUGAUGAUAUCCCAGAGAAGUUAACCAGUAAAUUCUCUGAAGAAAAGCCAGUCUGCACUGGUACCAAUAAUCUUUUAAGAUGUCUGGAAGUGUUUAAAAGGAUUUUAAUUGAUGAUGAGAUUUCAGCAAAUCAAGGAUGGAAUACCAUUUCCAACUAUGUUGUACAUGGUCUUAUGGAUGGUUCAAUAUCACACGUGUCAUCCUUUUUAAUAGCUAUGAUAUUUUCAGGGUGUCCAUUUAAAUCAAUUGGCGAAGCAUGUUAUGAAGAACUGCUUUCAGAAUUCUCCGGUCAGAAUACUACAUAUAAAUAUCUUAUAGAACUUUAUACGAAUCUGGUGGAUAGGGCCCUAGCAGACUUGAGCAUGCAAUUUGACAGACACCAGAAUUUGCAUUACUUGUUGUCGUCUUUGAGCAGAUUGGCAGGUAAUUAUGUGGAAGAACUUAAAAUGAUCAGAUCAGAAGUCUGGGUAAAGCUGAGGGCAUUUUCAGAUAAUAUGCAGUUACCAAGUCAAACUAGGUUAUAUGCGUUGCAGCUAAUGCAGUGUAUCACAGGAAUAAAUCUCAAAAGCCUUCCAGAUGAAAUUGUCUUCGAGGUGGAACCUUGGGAAGGUUGGGAUGAGUCUAUCUGCACAAAGGUCACUGGAACUUCUGAAGGAGCUGAAAUCUCUAGUAGUAUUACAAGUACUUUGGUCGCAUUUAAAUCGACUCAGCUGAUUGCAAAAAUUUUACCAAAUAUUGAGAUCACUCCAGAAAACCUGAUGACCCUUGACUCAGCUGUCUCUUGCUUCUUACAUUUAUCUGAAAGUGUUACGACUGUUGAAGAUCUCAAUGUUCUACAGGGUGUUUUGGAAGAAUGGGAUGAGUUCUUCUCUACAAAGAUGGAUAAGGAAGAGCAAAAUGAAUCCCCAAAAGAAUCAAACAACUGGAGCAGUGAUGAGUGGAAUGAUGGAUGGGAAGAGCUAGUUACUCCAGACGUAAAGCAACAGGGAUCUGUAUCUGUUAAGCGCCUUCAUGCUUGUUGGAUGGAAAUCAUCAAAAGGCUCAUUGGACUUUCUGAACUUCAUCGUAUCAUGGAGUUGCUUGAUAAAUCAUCACUAAAAUCUGAUAAUGUGCUUCUGAAUGAAGAAGAAGCUCAUUGCUUGUUUCAGCUGGUGGUUGGGAUGGAUUGCUUUAUGGCCCUUAAAUUGCUCUUGCUGCUCCCAUAUGAAGCUCCCCGCUCUCAGUGCUUACGUGUGCUCGAGAAUAAUCUAAAAACUGGAAGUAUUUCAGAUGCAUCUAGUGCAGCUGAUUAUGAGCUUCUUGCUAUACUAUUAUCAGCUGGGGUUGUACAUGAUAUUGCCAACGAUCCAUCUUUCUGCAAAGUAUUCUCAUAUGUCUGUUAUUUAGUUGGUCUUCUUGCUCGGCUGCUACAGGAAGAUCUGCUUAAUUCUUGGGAGGGUAAUGGAAGUAGACCUAAACAAAAUCAGUUAUCAAUAUUUAGCAGAAUUUUGUUGCCAUUUUUCAUAUCUGAGACUGUAUGUGGAGGUCAGCCUUUGAUAGCUGGGUUUAUUGUAUCAAGGUGGAUGCACACACACAUAUCCCUUGGUGUGAUUGAUAUUGUGGAGGCUAGUCUUAGAAGAGUGCAGGAACAGCAGCCAGAUGUGCAUGAUGCUAAGCGAUGUGACUGCUUAUGUAAUCACCCAAGCGAUGUGCAGAUGCCCAACGAUUUGUUUAUGGCAGGCGCUGUUAGUCUAAUAAAUGAUCUAACGAACCUGUCAUAUUGAAGCUGAUUGAUAUAGGGGUAUGUAAGAGAUGACCUUCCUUCAGCGGUAUUUCUUCCUUCAUCUUACGGUUUUGCUCCAGCCGUUGCCCGACCGACUCUUGUACUGCAACAAGCAGAGGAUUCAUUCAGCCAUGGUUCCUUUCUCUCCCUUGCUACAGAGAAGGAAGAUAUAAGCUGUGGUGUCUGUCUGUCUGUCUGAUGGAGAAUGCAAUCGAUAUAUCCAAGACACAACAGAUUGCGAUCAAAAAGACAAUGGACGCUGCUGCUGCUGCUGCUAGUUUGAUUCCAGCUGCUAAACCCCCUCCGCGGCAACCUCCUGAGCCUGAGCCUGAGCCUGAGCCCGCUCUUCUGGGUUGGCGUCAGCGCGGCAAGUCGGGCAGGAGC